GUGACUGUGGCUUAGUGGUAGAGCCUUGCCUCACACUGGCAGAAGAUUUAUCCAAAAAAAAAAAAAAAGCAAGAAAACUAUCGUAGCACAAGAAAUAAUUUCAUAAUACAUAAGAGCCCAGAAGUAUGAGGCACUGGGUUUGACCCUCAGCACCACA
Molecule: transfer RNA, 157 nt
Filed under: Marmota monax (woodchuck)
Lineage: Eukaryota; Metazoa; Chordata; Mammalia; Rodentia; Sciuridae
Description: tRNA.Val
Source: RNAcentral